UUCACACGAAAAAGACGCAGCAGCCAUCCUCCCCUCUGUCUAUCCCCCUUUCUACCUCUCUUCAUCUUACUCUUCCUUUCACCAAAUCUCGCUCAAAUCAUCCCCGGCGUUUCCCUAAUUCAUCAUAACCGACGAUUUCUUUUCCCUCCUUUCUGUCUCCUCUUCUUACCAGGUCUCCGAUGAAGCUCGUAGGUUCAGUCGGCUGAAACAAAAACUGAGAAAAUUUAAAAUAAAGAUCUGGAAAUCCACUAAAACAAAAAGAACUUCACAAAAAAUAGAAAAGGAAAAUGGCAGUGAAAAAAGGACUUCGAAGCUGCUUUAGCUUUACUGCUUUACUCUGCAAUUUCUAGGUUAUCAAGAUUUGAUGCCGAAACAUUGUGAUUUCUGUUGAAGUAGUAGCUGCACUCCAUUUUGCUUUCUUCUUAGCCUUAAAUUUGGCAUCACAAGCUUACUUUGGAAUACUAGGUAUAUCCACUCUCUACUUUUAAUUGUGAUAAAUUUGAAUGAAUGAGAUAUUGAUUGUUUUCAAACCCAGUUUUCCUCUUUAGUUUGAAUUUUUUGUUUCACCUUAGAUAAGCAUGUUGAUGAGGUCUUUAGUCUAUAAUUGGUGCAAGCUUCUUUGAGUAUUUUAGGCAUGAGUCUGAAAAAUUAAAUUUGUGAAUAGUGAUAGAAUGACUAUUUGAUUAAGGAGUAUGUAUUUUUUUUUCUUC
This 710-nucleotide long non-coding RNA is filed under the name Nicotiana benthamiana. RNAcentral's name for it is "long non-coding RNA (NBEN_LNC026793)". Lineage: Eukaryota; Viridiplantae; Streptophyta; Magnoliopsida; Solanales; Solanaceae. The record is from RNAcentral.